GGAAUACCCGCUGAACUUAAGCAUAUCAAUAAGCCGGAGGAAAAAAAAAAAA
Molecule: ribosomal RNA, 52 nt
Filed under: Pyricularia oryzae
Lineage: Eukaryota; Fungi; Ascomycota; Sordariomycetes; Magnaporthales; Pyriculariaceae
Description: partial 28S ribosomal RNA
Source: RNAcentral